This 893-nucleotide ribosomal RNA is filed under the name uncultured bacterium. Its description in RNAcentral is "bacterial SSU rRNA". It matches the Rfam family "Bacterial small subunit ribosomal RNA", at positions 72 to 956 of the family's 1533-position model. The record is from RNAcentral.
GAAGAAGCUUGCUUCUUUGCUGACGAGCGGCGGACGGGUGAGUAAUACUUGGGAACUUGCCUCUAGGCGGGGGACAACCACUGGAAACGGUGGCUAAUACCGCAUAAUGUCUACGGACCAAAGUGGGGGACCUUCGGGCCUCACACCUAGAGAUGGGCCCAAGCGGGAUUAGCUAGUUGGUGAGGUAACGGCUCACCAAGGCGACGAUCCCUAGCUGUUCUGAGAGGAUGAUCAGCCACACUGGGACUGAGACACGGCCCAGACUCCUACGGGAGGCAGCAGUGGGGAAUAUUGGACAAUGGGGGCAACCCUGAUCCAGCCAUGCCGCGUGUGUGAAGAAGGCCUUCGGGUUGUAAAGCACUUUCAGUGGUGAGGAAAGGGUAAUCGUUAAUAGCGGUUACGGUUGACGUUAGCCACAGAAGAAGCACCGGCUAACUCCGUGCCAGCGGCCGCGGUAAUACGGAGGGUGCAAGCGUUAAUCGGAAUUACUGGGCGUAAAGCGUACGUAGGGGGUGUGUUAAGCAAGAUGUGAAAGCCCCGGGCUCAACCUGGGAAUGGCAUUUUGAACUGGCACGCUAGAGUCCUGAAGAGGGUGGUAGAAUUUCCAGUGUAGCGGUGAAAUGCGUAGAUAUUGGAAGGAAUACCGGUGGCGAAGGCGGCCACCUGGUCAGAGACUGACGCUGAGGUACGAAAGCGUGGGGAGCAAACAGGAUUAGAUACCCUGGUAGUCCACGCCGUAAACGAUGUCAACUAGUUGUUCGUGUCUUUAAGACGUGAGUAACGCAGCUGACGCACUAAGUGUGACCGCCUGGGGAGUACGGCCGCAAGGUUAAAACUCAUAUGAAUUGACGGGGGGCCCGCACAAGCGGUGGAGCAUGUGGUUUAAUUCGAUG